UCGAAUAGAAUACAGGGGGCGACCAAGAACCCUCAUCAAACCCUAGUUCUUACAAAUCAUUCAAAUUGAAGGAUUAAAUCAGUUCCAAAGCGAAAUCAGAGCCUAGUUUAGUGAUCUCCUCAUCAAAAGGAUCAUAAGGAAAGGAAACCGGAGCGUCUAGUGGACAAGCCAGUGGCGACGCGCGUUUAAAAGGUGUGCUUUGAAGGUGAUGUUCGUUUGUUGUGGAUGUUGAUCAAGCAAGGGAACCAAGAACCGAACACAAGUUUUGAAUGCUUCCGCGCUAAUCUAAUCUAGUUAAAACAUGUUGUUUUGUAAACUCUUUUGAAUGUUGAACAUUUUAAUCUAGUUAGUCGACUAUGUUUAAAUACUAUAACGACGUACAUCUUAGUUAUUAACUAAGUUUUUGU
Helianthus annuus (common sunflower) is the source of this 407-nucleotide long non-coding RNA. RefSeq lists it as uncharacterized. The record is from RefSeq and is a predicted model, not a curated record. NCBI's taxonomy places the organism in Eukaryota, Viridiplantae, Streptophyta, Magnoliopsida, Asterales, Asteraceae. The transcript is spliced from 3 exons.